RNAcentral lists this long non-coding RNA (1949 nucleotides) under Marmota monax (woodchuck). The record is from RNAcentral. Lineage: Eukaryota; Metazoa; Chordata; Mammalia; Rodentia; Sciuridae.
UAAUAAUGGAACAUUUACUUAAAUCCAGAAUAGUAGUUUCCAGUGAACAGUUAUAUUUAAUUGUACUAUUCUAAAGAACUAACUGAAAGGUAGUGAACUUCAUCUUAUUAUUAUAUACCACUGUGUUAGUCUCUUUGGACUGCUCUAUCGAAAUAUUAUAGACUAGGUAAUUUAUAAACAACAGAAAUUAAAUUUUUUACAGUUUUGGAGGCUGGGAUGUCCAAGAUCACUGUGCUGGCAGAUUUGAAGUUUGAUGAGAGCCCACUUAUCCAUUCAUAGGUGCUUUUUUUCUGUGUUGUCACAUGGUGGAAGGGCCCACUUUUUUGUAAAUUCAUGAAUCCUAUUAAUUAAGGCUCAACCCUUAUGAUCUAGUCACCUCAGAGAGGCUCCCCACUUCUAAUUCUAUUAUCUUGAGGUUUAGAAUUUCAAAAUGUGAAUUUGGGGUAGGGGACAGAAACAUUAAGACAUAACAACUACAUUUCAGGAUUUUGCUCUCAUUUGUUGAUAUUUUAAAAUACUUCAUAGUAGUUACCUUCUUUUGGGUUUCAAGUACUAGUACUAUGCUACUUUAUAUGAUUACUCUUCACAACCACUAUAUAAUGUAUUGUUUUUGUCCCAUAUAAAGAAAUUGAGGCCCAAAGAGGUUAAUAGCAAACAAGUGCCAAAGUCAAGAUUCUAACUCAAAUCUAUUAAGAUUCCCAAAUCUUUUUUUUCUAACUAUUUUGAUUGCAUGUAUACUUCAUAGAUGGUACUAAUCCACAUAGGUUUGAACCAAGCAACAAUUUCCAAUAGAUAUUAUUUGCCUCUAACACACUUAGGGAUAGGUACUCUUAGACAUCAAAGGUUGAAGUUAAUAUUAGCAAAAGUAGAAAAUUGUUUUUGCUAGGAGGAUAAUAUAUUUCAGGGGAAGCUUCAACUCUAAGUAGACACAUUAAUAAUCUUUCUAAGAACUUGGUUAAAUUAUCAAAGAGGGAAGCUGUCUUCAGGAUAGUGUUUUUAAUGUUGAUCUUAAUCCUGUACAAUUAUGAACAUAAUUCACUUUUAUUGUAGAAUUGCAUUCUUUUUAUGUUUUGCUAUUCUGCAAACAUAGUAUUUUAUAUUGUGACAUUUAGAUGUAAAUUUCAUUUCAAUUUUGUCUAGCAGAUUUUUUUGUUGUUGUUUUUGGUACCAGGGAUUGAACCCAGGGGUGCUUCAUCACUGAACCAUGUUCCCAGGCCCUUUUAUUUUUUUUAUUUUGAGACAAGGUCUCACUAAGUUGCUCAGGGCCUAACUAAUUUGCUGAGGUUGGCUUUGAAUGUGAUCCUCCUGCUUCAGCCUUCUGAGCCACUGGGUUUACAAACAUGUACCACUGAGCCAGGCUGUUCAACAGUUUAAUAAAAAUUUUAAUGAGUUCAUGAUCUCUCUGUUCCUUAACACUUGUUAUGUUCAUUCAGCUCAGUUAACAUUUGAACACCUACUGUGUACCAGGCAUGGUGAGAGACCUACAGAAAAAUUGUACUGAAAGAACAAAUCCUGGCUAGUGAUAAGUGAUAUGGGAACAAUAAUUGAAACAACAACAACAACAACAACAACAACAAAACAAAGUUAUAUUUGAAUGAUGGGAAGGAAUCAGAAAAUUCUAUAAAUAGUAGGUGAAAUUUAAACAGGAUCUUGAAUGAUGUAUGGUGAUAUAAUGAUUAUGUAAGCAAAUCUUUUCUUAAGGGAAAGACAGUUUGAAUUGUGGGAAACAACAUCAACAAAGAUAGGCAUUAGGAAAAUAUGUGACAUAUUUAAUAAAUGGUAGAUAUUACAGUGACAUUGGGUUUACAUGUGGGAUUAGUGUUUAUAUUGUGGUCUGGAAAGAAACACUGGGGCCAAGUGUUAAGUUUCUUGACUUAUAUGCUAAGAAAUUUUGAAGUCUCUAGGUAAUAAUGAUUAUAGCAUAGGAUUUCAGCAAAUGUGAAAUGUGA